RNAcentral lists this ribosomal RNA (303 nucleotides) under Triticum aestivum (bread wheat). Its description in RNAcentral is "partial small subunit ribosomal RNA". The record is from RNAcentral. Lineage: Eukaryota; Viridiplantae; Streptophyta; Magnoliopsida; Poales; Poaceae.
AUGUCUUGCAGUGUCUGCGACAAGAGGGGAGGACUGCUUUGCAAUCUCAACGUACCCUGUUCAUCAGAGACAACAUCUCCGUGGGCGCCUCCGUGCGCUCUUUGGGCAGCUCGGAGCCAUGCUGUCAGAGCUCUUCACCAACUAGACCAUCUACACCAACAAGGCAGCGGUGCUGGUGACGCUGCUGUUCGUGAUCGCGGUCAACCUGGCGAUCGGCAUCCUGCCGCACAUGAUGCGCCCGACGCCAUGGAGUACCUCACGGCGUGCUCGCCUCCCCCAGCAUCCCGAUCUCAACGAGCCUAG